UCGCCUAAAUCUAUCCCCUCCAAAAUAAAUGCACUUCAAUCAUGGCGCACGGUACCAACUAUACCGAAACAAAUCGCUCCCGGGAAAUGUUCCAGCUAGGAGGAUCAUGCCUAGUCAUGGGAUGCUAUAAAAGCCAAUGUUGGAGAAGGUUUCGGCCUCUUUUGGGAACAGAAAUCAGCCUUGUGCCGUGUUACCGUACUGAAGUGAACCGUUGCCCGAGAGUUGUUCCCGAUCGCUUUGUGCCGCUAAUCCAAACGACGGGAACGAGACAACCUUGUGUGUAAAGCCUAAGGGCCUACACCGACGCGAAGUGAUACACACCGUUACAUCGUGUACCCGUGUCUGCCCGAAGCCAUCCUGGGCCACCUCAAGUACGUCGACCAGCAUCAGACGAGAGAACGAACGUCCCAGAGGUCGAGAAGUGUUCCUGGCCGAAAAUCAUUGGUCGCCGCCACCAGGUGAUGUAAAGUGCAAACCUUUCAAUCCUUAACCCUUCUCAUUCCUCCAUGUAAAUAUUAAAAUAAAUCUAACCAGUGAAUUAAAUUA
Molecule: long non-coding RNA, 546 nt
Organism: Aedes albopictus (Asian tiger mosquito)
Lineage: Eukaryota; Metazoa; Arthropoda; Insecta; Diptera; Culicidae
Exons: 2
Source: RefSeq, a predicted model, not a curated record